RNAcentral lists this unclassified non-coding RNA (246 nucleotides) under uncultured fungus. RNAcentral describes it as "sequence contains ITS1, 5.8S rRNA gene". The stretch from base 198 to 246 matches the Rfam family "5.8S ribosomal RNA", at positions 1 to 49 of the family's 154-position model. The record is from RNAcentral. Lineage: Eukaryota; Fungi.
UCUCCGUUGGUGAACCAGCGGAGGUAUCAUUACAGAGUUUUCUAAACUCCCAAACCCAUGUGAACUUACCAUUGUUGCCUCGGCGGAGCCUACCCUGUAGCUACCCUAUAAGGUGGCUACCCUGUAGCGCCCCGCCGGUGGAUUUUCAAACUCUUGUUAUUUAUAGUAAUCUGAGAUUAUUAAAUUAAAUAAGUCAAAACUUUCAACAACGGAUCUCUUGGUUCUGGCAUCGAUGAAGAACGCAGC